RNAcentral lists this unclassified non-coding RNA (227 nucleotides) under Hevea brasiliensis (rubber tree). The record is from RNAcentral. Lineage: Eukaryota; Viridiplantae; Streptophyta; Magnoliopsida; Malpighiales; Euphorbiaceae.
GCCACUUGUUAGUCAUUUUAAUGCUCAGAAUCCUCUCUUUAUAGGCCCUUUUACCUUUGUGACAAAACAGAAAAUUACAUGAUUCUGUCAAAUUGAAGGCAUAAGAAAACUUUUGAUUUUGAAUGUGCUGUUCUCUACAUGUUCCCUUAACUGACUUUGCAGCUCAACUUCCAAGUUCUUUUGAUAGUUAAUGCUGCAAAGUUAUAUUGUUCCAUUUUUCCUUUCAG